UAUAAUUAAGCGGAGGAAAAGAAACUAACUAGGAUUCCCUCAGUAACGGCGAGUGAAGCGGGACUAGCUCAGGAUGUGAAUCUGCGCUUUUAUGGCGCCGAAUUGUGGUCUGUAGACUUUGACGUUAUCUGCCGGGCCAAGUUCCUUGGAAAAGGACAGUUGAGAGGGUGAAACUCCCGUCCGCCUGGUAUAAUGAGUCUUUGUCAAAGAGUCGAGUUGUUUGGGAUUGCAGCUCUAAUUUGGUGGUAAAUUCCAUCUAAAGCUAAAUAUUGGUGGGAGACCGAUAGCGUACAAGUACCGUGAGGGAAAGAUGCAAAGAACUUUGAAAAGAGAGUUAAAGAGUACCUGAAAUUGCUGAAACGGAAGCGAAGGAAACCAGUGUUUGUUGGUUCAUAUUUCCCUGGCCACUUGUGGUUUGGGCGCUGUGAGCUUGCGUGGGUUUGGGUUGGUUGAUCCCUUUGGAAGAGCGCAGUCAGAGUUGAUGUCUGUUGCUAGCACUGGGUUUGACUGAUGCAGACGAAAUGGUUUUCUUUACCCCGUCUUGAAACACGGACCAAGGAGUCUAACAUAUGUGCGAGUACAGGGGUGUCAAACCCCGGUGCGUAAUGAAAGUGACAGUGGUUGGAUAUUUUGCACAAUCCGCCGGCCUCAAUCCUUCGGGAGAACGGUCUGAGUGUGAGCAUACAUGUUGGGACCCGAAAGAUGGUGAACUAUGCCUGAAUAGGGUGAAGCCAGGGGAAACUCUGGUGGAGGCUCGUAGCGAUUCUGACGUGCAAAUCGAUCGUCAAAUUUGGGUAUAGGGGCGAAAGACUAAUCGAACCAUCUAGUAGCUGUUUUCCCUCCGAAACAUUUAAAU
Molecule: ribosomal RNA, 856 nt
Filed under: Pseudo-nitzschia fraudulenta
Lineage: Eukaryota; Bacillariophyta; Bacillariophyceae; Bacillariales; Bacillariaceae
Description: LSU rRNA
Rfam family: Eukaryotic large subunit ribosomal RNA
Source: RNAcentral